RNAcentral lists this ribosomal RNA (253 nucleotides) under uncultured bacterium. RNAcentral's name for it is "partial 16S ribosomal RNA". It matches the Rfam family "Bacterial small subunit ribosomal RNA", at positions 524 to 776 of the family's 1533-position model. RNAcentral also lists the same sequence under 1 other name. The record is from RNAcentral.
UACAGAGGUCUCAAGCGUUGUUCGGAUUCAUUGGGCGUAAAGGGUGCGUAGGUGGCGCCGUAAGUCAGGUGUGAAAUCUCGGGGCUCAACCCCGAAACUGCACUUGAUACUGCGGUGCUCGAGUACUGGAGAGGAGAUUGGAAUUUACGGUGUAGCAGUGAAAUGCGUAGAUAUCGUAAGGAAGACCAGUGGCGAAGGCGAAUCUCUGGACAGUUACUGACACUGAGGCACGAAGGCCAGGGGAGCAAACGGG